This 440-nucleotide ribosomal RNA is filed under the name uncultured bacterium. RNAcentral's name for it is "partial 16S ribosomal RNA". It matches the Rfam family "Bacterial small subunit ribosomal RNA", at positions 338 to 795 of the family's 1533-position model. The record is from RNAcentral.
CCUACGGGUGGCAGCAGUGGGGAAUCUUUGACAAUGGGGGGAACCCUGAUCCAGCGACGCCGCGUGAGUGAAGAAGUAUUUCGGUAUGUAAAGCGCUAUCAGCAGGGAAGAAAAUGACGGUACCUGACUAAGAAGCCCCGGCUAACUACGUGCCAGCAGCCGCGGUAAUACGUAGGGCGCAAGCGUUAUCCGGAUUGACUGGGUGUAAAGGGAGCGUAGACGGUGCAGCAAGACCGAUGUGAAAGGUCGGGGUCCAACCCCCGGACUGCAUUGGAAACUGUUGAACUGGAGUACAGGAGAGGUAAGAGGAAUUCCUAGUGUAGGGGUGAAAUGCGUAGAUAUUAGGAGGAACACCAGUGGCGAAGGCGGCUUACUGGAAUGUAACUGACGCUGAGGCUCGAAAGCGUGGGGAGCAAACAGGAUUAGAUACCCCUGUAGUC